Molecule: long non-coding RNA, 1804 nt
Organism: Trifolium pratense (red clover)
Lineage: Eukaryota; Viridiplantae; Streptophyta; Magnoliopsida; Fabales; Fabaceae
Exons: 7
Source: RefSeq, a predicted model, not a curated record
UCCUCUACUCAGGGUUUCCUUGUUCCAAUUCUGUUCUCUUUGUUCAUCUCACUCAAACCCAACGACCUUCAAACCACCCAGAAACAUUCACCUCACUCGAUUCUACAAAUUACCCACUCACCUUCGUUCUUCUUCAAUCUCACUUCACCUAGAAACCCUCAACCUUCUUUAAACCUUCGUCACUCUCACUCCAUCCAGAACCCUUCUUCUUCGACCUUCUUCUCACCCAGAAACUCACUGAAACCCUAAACCCCGUAGAAUGUCAAUUAAUUGAACCCAGAUUCCCAUUGAAACCCUUAAAUAAAAAUCAAUUGAACCUUGAGAACUCGCUGAAACCCUAAAACCAUCUUUCCCAAUCGUUCUUCAUUGUCCAUCGUUUCAGAAGUCGUUUACCCAGAAACUCUUCAUCGUUCCGCCAUCGUUCAUCGCAGUUGAACCUCCAUCUUAUCAUGAGAGGAGUUGUUUCUAGAUGUGGUGCUGUUGUGUUGGUGUUUCUGAAUUUUUUCUUUGAGAUUGUCUUCUUUUUUGGUUUGGGAGUGUAGGUGUAAUUUUGGAGUGUGUUUUAGCUUGAUAUAAGAUUAUUUGCCUUAGUGCCUCUACAAACAAACAGUCUAACAUACAAAAGUAGGCAGAGGAAAAAGCUGCUUUGAUCAUGGAAGAAUUACACUCUGAUGACACUGGAUUUAUCAUGACAGUUGGAGAUGUUUGUUGCACAUGAGUUUUGGGUAGUGAUGGAAUGGUUCUUGUAAAGAAGGGCUGCUCAAAUGCAUCUUCUCCAUAAAUUUGCAAGUUGCAAUAGGCGAUGAUUUCCAAUUUUAAGAUAAAUUUAUAAUGUUUUCAAUCCCUAUAAUGAUGCCUCUGCUAUUAGAAUAUAAUUUAAUUUACCAUUAGUUCUAGUUGAUAUAUUAUAAUUUAUCUUUGUUUUUAUUGGGCAGGAAACUUGACAUGUUUCUAUAUAUGAAUUAAGAAUGUCUUAUAGAUUAUGAUCAAUGUUUUUAUAAUGGAAAAUUGGCUUGUGGAUUAUGAAUGUAUUGCCCCAGGAGCUUGUUAUAAAACCUGAAAUAAAUUUGAUUAGUGGUGAUUACGGCGUUGGGAAGAGUACUCUAUUGUUGCAGGUAUGGUGUUAGGUAGAUUACGUGCUUAAAUUUAAUAUCACUAUUUUGUGUCCUUUUCUUGUAUUACCCAAAAAUUGGGAAGUAUGUCUUAGGAAUGGACAAGACCUUCUUUAAAAAAUUUCUGAAAUCUUACUUAAAUACAAGUGAUAGCAGCAUUGGAUCAUGUUUUGUUUCAAACUUCAGAAGAGCUGAGCAUAGCAUAUAAGGGAAAUGAAGAGGAUCAGAGAUACAUAUAAAAGAUUUGAAGAGCUUUGUGUUUGGGUUCGAAGAGUUUUUCUUUAAAGGACUGAAUAUCUAUUUAUGGAUAGCAAAUUUAUAUGUAUCUGACUCUCAAUUGUCUAUCCCUCCUGAUUGAAUCUGAGAGGCUUUGCUGCUCUCUUGCGGUCUGACUUUGGCCCACUCUUUUUUUGAUUCCGCUCAAUUGCGCGAUCUUUGUAAGGUAGUUUGAAUUUUAUAGGCCUUCCUUUUUCGAUGAAGUGGAUCGUUCUCAUCAAGUGACAGAAAAAAGAGUUUUGCAGCUGUUGUUAGAUGUCAAAUUUGUCAUUGAUAUUAUCAGAAGAAAGCAGGGCCAAAGUUUGACGAUCUCAUUUGUAGUGGUGUUUGUGUUUGUACUAUUCAAUUCUGAUUUGUCUUGUAGCUCGGAUAGGUUUUGUUUAUGAAAUGAAUGUAUUACGAGUUGUUGUUUUAUU